UGCUGAGUCAUGGAAUAAAUACGUCGCUCCACGCAAGCAGCAAGAAGAAUAAGGACAGUUUACAAGUGGAUACAACAAGAUGACCAUUAUUGUUAUCUUUGCGUAAAACGAGUUAUUUGUUGGGAGCUUCAAUUCACUAAAUUGCUUUCCAGCACUAGCUUGUCUUGAGAAUCUCCCAGCCACCAUGGUAGCAGUGCAAAGCUACUGUGAAGCCAGCGCUUCCAUCUCUGAAGCCUGGCUGGAGGGCGGCAUCUCGCCCUGCUUCUACUUCACCCUGGUGCCCACCGUCCUGCUUACCCUCUCCUUCUUCUUCGGCACCUUCCACUGCGUCUGCUACCGCCGCUACGGCACCGAGAUGGAGCCCAAGUUCGUUCCGCGCUCGCGCCUCUAUGACCUCCAACUGGCAGUCUCCCUGCUCCUCCUGCUGCAGUUCCUGGGGGGGCUGGUUUGGAGGGCGGCCGGAGGAGGGGAGCUCCCUGGCUACGUGGUGCUGUACGGCCUCCUUUCCAUGCUGGGCUGGGCCUGGGCCGUGGCCCUGUUAAGGCUGGAGAGGAGGAGGGUGCUGGUGAGGGACCGGACACGUGGCCACAGCACGGUGCUGCUGCUUUUCUGGGCUGUGGCAUUCUCAUCGGAGAACCUGGCCUUCGUCUCCUGGGCCAGCCCCUACUGGUGGUGGGGCCUGGAGAAAACACAGCAGCAGGUGGAAUUUUCUCUGUGGUUGAUGCGCUACGUCGGCACGGGCACACUCUUCUUCCUGGGCCUGAAGGCCCCGGGAUUACCACGGAGACCGUACAUGCUCCUGAUCAACGAGGACGAACGCGACGUGGAGGGCGGCACUGGCCAGCUCCUGUUGGAUGGGGCAGAGGAAUCCCAGUCUACCUGGCAUGACUUUGGGCAGAAGGUGCGUCUGCUGGUGCCCUACAUGUGGCCCAGAGGCAGCAUGCUGUUACAGGGCCUGGUGCUCCUCUGCCUGUGCCUGCUGGGUCUGGAGAGGGUCAUCAAUGUCUUUGUGCCCAUCUACUACAAGAACAUUGUGAAUGAGCUGACUGAUGGAAGCAGCUGGAAGACCUUGGCCACCACGGUGUGUGUCUACGUCUUGCUCAAGUUCCUGCAAGGUGGAGGGGCAGGUGCGUCCGGCUUCGUCAGUAACCUGCGCUCCUUCCUGUGGAUCCGCGUGCAGCAGUACACCAACCGGGUGGUGCAGGUGCGUCUGUUCAGCCACUUACACUCACUGUCUCUGCGCUGGCACCUGGGCCGACGCACCGGGGACGUCCUGCGAAGCAUUGACCGCGGCACCUCCUCCAUCAACAGCCUGCUCAGCUACAUUGUAUUCAGCAUCUUCCCCACCAUCGCAGAUAUCGUCAUCUCCAUCAUUUACUUCAUCACCUACUUCAACGCCUGGUUCGGACUCAUCGUAUUCGUCUGUAUGUUCCUCUACCUCACUCUUACCAUCAUCAUCACGGAAUGGAGGACCAAGUACAGGCGAGACAUGAACACCCAGGACAACAACGCAAAGUCCAAGGCGGUGGACUCCCUGCUCAACUUUGAGACGGUGAAGUACUACAACGCAGAGAAUUACGAGGUGAACCGUUUUGAGGACGCUAUUCUGAAGUAUCAGAUCUCAGAAUGGAAGACACAAGCCUCUCUGGCCUUCCUGAACCAGACACAGAACUUGAUCAUCGGUUCAGGCCUAUUGGCCGGGUCACUGCUGUGUGCCUACUUUGUCCAGGAGGGCAAGUUUAAGGUUGGAGACUUUGUCCUCUUCGGCACCUACAUCAUCCAGCUCUACACCCCUCUCAACUGGUUUGGAACCUACUACAGAAUGAUCCAGAGCUCCUUUAUUGACAUGGAGAGCAUGUUUAAGCUCUUUACAGAGGAAGAGGAGGUCAAGGAUGCGGUGAACGCAGGGAACCUUCUCUAUAAACUGGGAAAAGUGGAGUUUGAGAAUGUAUACUUUAACUACACUGACGGGAAGGAGAUCCUUAAGGAUGUAUCAUUUACUGUGCAGCCAGGCCAGACUGUUGCAUUGGUUGGCCAGUCAGGGUGUGGUAAGAGCACCAUCCUUCGCUUGCUCUUCCGUUUCUACGACGUCCAGGGAGGAUGCAUUCGCAUCGAUGGCCAGGACAUCUCUAAGGUGAAGCAGGUGUCUCUGCGUGCCCACAUCGGCGUGGUGCCCCAGGACACGGUCCUCUUCAACGACAACAUCCGCAACAACAUCCGCUACGGACGCAUCUCUGCCAGCGACCACGAAGUGGAGGAGGCGGCGAUCGCCGCGGACAUUCACGAGAAGAUCCAGACGUUCCCAGAAGGAUUUGACACCCAGGUGGGCGAGAGAGGUCUGAAGCUGAGCGGGGGGGAGAAGCAGAGGGUGGCUAUCGCCCGCACCAUCCUCAAGGCCCCUCAGAUCAUCCUGCUGGAUGAGGUAAACUUUCGGGAAGGUCCAACCAGAGGCUCAAUGACCCUGUUCAGAUAGGUAUAGGGUGAAGAUGAUCUUGGGUCAGUUGCAUUUUUUCUUCUUCUAUUUUUGGUUAGGUUUAGGAUUGUGUAGGGGAAGCUGGUCCUAGAUCUUUACCAAGGUGAAACUUCACCCGGAGCGUUCAAAUACUUAAAAAACACGCACUUCCUCCCUCCUCUCCUUGAAGUUAUCGCUGAGCUUACACAAAUUGAUAGGAGGGUUGCAAAGGGUAAUAAACUUUCUGGUAAAUAUCUGGAAUUUUUCCAUGGGAAUUUUGCUUAAAUUCAUUAAUAAAAGUUAGCUUAUAACAGUGAACCUUUUUUUGUGGGAUACACAUAAGGCAACUCUAGGUAUUGUGGCAUAUUAUGGUUAAAUUAUUCCCAAUUCAAUGCAAUUGCAACUCUCUGCAUGCACAGUGCAUUCUUCCAUCACAUGUACAGCUGAUUCUCAAGAUCUUGCACACUAAUGAGAUGCUAUUGAGUCCACACUACUACACUGUCUAAGCCAAGGACUACAUGCUUUCUGGUAAGUUUUGAUUACAAUACUGGGUGGGGUGAAUAUAUUUUAUAUGACAUACAUGAUUUUUUGUUAACUAGUAAAUAGUAGCCGACGGCAAAGUGUGUAUAAAUCAUUUCUAAGUUAACAAUAUCUGCUAGUUAGCUUUUGCUACCAUGUGGGUUUUAGCUUGCUUGAGCCUGCUAUCUGAGGAGUGUUAAUUCACCUGUUCCCAAACAUGUUUCAUUUAAAAAAAAUGUAUCUUACAAAGGAGUUGUUUAAUCUAACUGCUUAACUAUUUAUCUGUACAUGGAAUUGUAUUUUUUUUUUUUUUUUACUCAUAUUUUUUCUAGUCUUUACAGGAAAAUGCCACGGGCACUAUCUGAUGUGUGGAGACAUUUCACUGCAGCUAAUGUAGAAGGAGAAGCUGUGUACAUUUGCAAAUACUGUGCCAAAUCAUAUGUGAAGAGUGCAACAAAGAUGCAGAAUAAUCUGGCCAAGUGCAUAAAGUUCCCUCAGCGCUCACAACAAGCAGCCUCUGACAAAAGUCCCUCUACUUCUAUUUGAGGCCACAUCUGCUCUCGACACACAGACGGAGCGCAACAUUCAGGCGUCGCUCACCAAAGUGUGCUCCAAUCGGACCACCAUCGUCGUGGCUCACAGGU
Oncorhynchus masou masou (cherry salmon) is the source of this 3615-nucleotide RNA transcript. It is a transcript of the gene named ATP binding cassette subfamily B member 6 (LAN blood group) a, with no coding region annotated. Lineage: Eukaryota; Metazoa; Chordata; Actinopteri; Salmoniformes; Salmonidae. The record is from RefSeq and is a predicted model, not a curated record. The transcript has 18 exons.